This 468-nucleotide ribosomal RNA is filed under the name uncultured bacterium. RNAcentral's name for it is "partial 16S ribosomal RNA". It matches the Rfam family "Bacterial small subunit ribosomal RNA", at positions 28 to 507 of the family's 1533-position model. The record is from RNAcentral.
GACGAACGCUGGCGGCGUGCUUAACACAUGCAAGUCGAACGGAAAGGCCCUGCUUUUGUGGGGUGCUCGAGUGGCGAACGGGUGAGUAACACGUGAGUAACCUGCCCUUGACUUUGGGAUAACUUCAGGAAACUGGGGCUAAUACCGGAUAGGAGCUCCUGCUGCAUGGUGGGGGUUGGAAAGUUUCGGCGGUUGGGGAUGGACUCGCGGCUUAUCAGCUUGUUGGUGGGGUAGUGGCUUACCAAGGCUUUGACGGGUAGCCGGCCUGAGAGGGUGACCGGCGACAUUGGGACUGAGAUACGGCGCAGACUCCUACGGGAGGCAGCAGUGGGGAAUAUUGCACAGUGGGAGGGAGCCUGAUGCAGCAACGCCGCGUGCGGGAUGACGGCCUUCGGGUUGUAAACCGCUUUCGCCUGUGACGAAGCGUGAGUGACGGUAAUGGGUAAAGAAGCACCGGCUAACUACGUG